ACGAGUUAUCUGAACCUUCGGGGAACGAUAACGGCGUCGAGCGGCGGACGGGUGAGUAAUGCCUAGGAAAUUGCCCUGAUGUGGGGGAUAACCAUUGGAAACGAUGGCUAAUACCGCAUGAUGCCUACGGGCCAAAGAGGGGGACCUUCGGGCCUCUCGCGUCAGGAUAUGCCUAGGUGGGAUUAGCUAGUUGGUGAGGUAAGGGCUCACCAAGGCGACGAUCCCUAGCUGGUCUGAGAGGAUGAUCAGCCACACUGGAACUGAGACACGGUCCAGACUCCUACGGGAGGCAGCAGUGGGGAAUAUUGCACAAUGGGCGCAAGCCUGAUGCAGCCAUGCCGCGUGUGUGAAGAAGGCCUUCGGGUUGUAAAGCACUUUCAGUCGUGAGGAAGGUAGUGUAGUUAAUAGCUGCAUUAUUUGACGUUAGCGACAGAAGAAGCACCGGCUAACUCCGUGCCAGCAGCCGCGGUAAUACGGAGGGUGCGAGCGUUAAUCGGAAUUACUGGGCGUAAAGCGCAUGCAGGUGGUUUGUUAAGUCAGAUGUGAAAGCCCGGGGCUCAACCUCGGAAUUGCAUUUGAAACUGGCAGACUAGAGUACUGUAGAGGGGGGUAGAAUUUCAGGUGUAGCGGUGAAAUGCGUAGAGAUCUGAAGGAAUACCGGUGGCGAAGGCGGCCCCCUGGACAGAUACUGACACUCAGAUGCGAAAGCGUGGGGAGCAAACAGGAUUAGAUACCCUGGUAGUCCACGCCGUAAACGAUGUCUACUUGGAGGUUGUGGCCUUGAGCCGUGGCUUUCGGAGCUAACGCGUUAAGUAGACCGCCUGGGGAGUACGGUCGCAAGAUUAAAACUCAAAUGAAUUGACGGGGGCCCGCACAAGCGGUGGAGCAUGUGGUUUAAUUCGAUGCAACGCGAAGAACCUUACCUACUCUUGACAUCCAGAGAACUUUCCAGAGAUGGAUUGGUGCCUUCGGGAACUCUGAGACAGGUGCUGCAUGGCUGUCGUCAGCUCGUGUUGUGAAAUGUUGGGUUAAGUCCCGCAACGAGCGCAACCCUUAUCCUUGUUUGCCAGCGAGUAAUGUCGGGAACUCCAGGGAGACUGCCGGUGAUAAACCGGAGGAAGGUGGGGACGACGUCAAGUCAUCAUGGCCCUUACGAGUAGGGCUACACACGUGCUACAAUGGCGCAUACAGAGGGCAGCCAACUUGCGAAAGUGAGCGAAUCCCAAAAAGUGCGUCGUAGUCCGGAUUGGAGUCUGCAACUCGACUCCAUGAAGUCGGAAUCGCUAGUAAUCGUGGAUCAGAAUGCCACGGUGAAUACGUUCCCGGGCCUUGUACACACCGCCCGUCACACCAUGGGAGUGGGCUGCAAAAGAAGUAGGUAGUUUAACCUUCGGGGGGACGCUUA
RNAcentral lists this ribosomal RNA (1405 nucleotides) under Vibrio parahaemolyticus. RNAcentral's name for it is "bacterial SSU rRNA". It matches the Rfam family "Bacterial small subunit ribosomal RNA". Lineage: Bacteria; Pseudomonadati; Pseudomonadota; Gammaproteobacteria; Vibrionales; Vibrionaceae. The record is from RNAcentral.